GGCUUUAGAGAGAGAGAGAGGGUUUAGACUUUGGAGAGAGAAGGGCGGAGUUUGUUUGGUAGGGGUUUGUUUGACGGCGCCAGUUGCGGGUCUGAAUCGAUGUGUUGGCCACUCUUUUUUAAAUUCCUUUUUCUUCUUCCUCUCUUACUCCCUUCCGUGGGUCGGAGUAAUUCACAGUUAUACCAUCGUCCGUACACAUACAACGUAGAACUGCG
This 215-nucleotide long non-coding RNA is filed under the name Amborella trichopoda. RNAcentral describes it as "long non-coding RNA (ATRI_LNC003947)". The record is from RNAcentral. Lineage: Eukaryota; Viridiplantae; Streptophyta; Magnoliopsida; Amborellales; Amborellaceae.